This is a small nucleolar RNA of Callithrix jacchus (white-tufted-ear marmoset), 95 nucleotides long. The record is from Ensembl. Lineage: Eukaryota; Metazoa; Chordata; Mammalia; Primates; Cebidae.
UUCCUUUUGUGAUUUCUAAGCAUGAUGAUCCGGUUUCCACACUGUUAUGUGAGGUGCACCUUUCUCAAACCUUGUUAGCACAUUACUGCCUGACG